AUAAAAGCUGUGAUGAGAAAGAGUAAUUGGACAGUUUCUUUUACAGAGAGCCCCUCAGUGCUGAAAGGGGGCAAAGAAUAGUUCCAAUGAAUAUGGCCUCGGAGCUGCACCUCGAAACCCAUUAGGGAAGUAGGAUGUGACGGUGGCACCCGUUAUAGUGCUAGGGUAUAAGCAACAUAAUUAAAGUCGCUGUACUUGAAAAGAGGUCAAUGCGUUAAGCAUUGAUGAACUUGGUUGGUAACACGGAGUAUUAACUCUUGUCCCUUUA
RNAcentral lists this non-coding RNA (268 nucleotides) under Paenibacillus sp. RNAcentral describes it as "T-box sequence". It matches the Rfam family "T-box leader". From Rfam's summary of the family: Uncharged tRNA acts as the effector for transcription antitermination of genes in the T-box leader family. T-boxes are found upstream of many aminoacyl-tRNA synthetase genes and some amino acid biosynthetic genes usually in Gram-positive bacteria. Lineage: Bacteria; Bacillati; Bacillota; Bacilli; Caryophanales; Paenibacillaceae. The record is from RNAcentral.